CAAAAACCAUCACCUCUAGCAUUACCAGUAUUAGAGGCACUGCCUGCCCAGUGACAUGCGUUUAACGGCCGCGGUAUCCUGACCGUGCAAAGGUAGCAUAAUCAUUUGUUCCUUAAAUAGGGACUUGUAUGAAUGGCUUCACGAGGGUUAAACUGUCUCUUACUUUUAAUCAGUGAACUUGACCUUCCCGUGAAGAGGCGGGAAUAACACAAUAAGACGAGAAGACCCUAUGGAGCUUAAAUCUACUUAGCUUAAGCAUUAUUAUUCUUUCCCCACAGGGAUUAAUAAAUUUGCCUCCUUAAGCUUAAGAUUUUGGUUGGGGUGACCUCGGAGUAUAAGAUAACCUCCGAAUGAUUUUAGCCUUGACUCGACUAGUCUAAGCAUCUAUUCAUUAAUUGACCCAAACUUAUUGAUCAACGGAACAAGUUACCCUAGGGAUAACAGCGCAAUCCUACCCAAGAGUCCAUAUCGACAGUAGGGUUUACGACCUCGAUGUUGGAUCAGGACAUCCAAGUGGUGUAACCGCUACUAAUGGUUCGUUUGUUCAACGAUUAAAGUC
This 559-nucleotide ribosomal RNA is filed under the name Hadrosciurus pyrrhinus (Junin red squirrel). RNAcentral's name for it is "Sciurus pyrrhinus (Junin red squirrel) partial 16S ribosomal RNA". It matches the Rfam family "Bacterial large subunit ribosomal RNA", at positions 1807 to 2595 of the family's 2925-position model. The record is from RNAcentral. Lineage: Eukaryota; Metazoa; Chordata; Mammalia; Rodentia; Sciuridae.